GAUGAACGCUGGCGGCGUGCCUAAUACAUGCAAGUCGAGCGAACGGACGAGAAGCUUGCUUUUCUGAUGUUAGCGGCGGACGGGUGAGUAACACGUGGAUAACCUACCUAUAAGACUGGGAUAACUUCGGGAAACCGGAGCUAAUACCGGAUAAUAUUUUGAACCGCAUGGUUCAAAAGUGAAAGACGGUCUUGCUGUCACUUAUAGAUGGAUCCGCGCUGCAUUAGCUAGUUGGUAAGGUAACGGCUUACCAAGGCAACGAUGCAUAGCCGACCUGAGAGGGGGAUCGGCCAAACUGGAACUGAGACACGGUCCAGACUCCUACGGGAGGCAGCAGUAGGGAAUCUUCCGCAAUGGGCGAAAGCCUGACGGAGCAACGCCGCGUGAGUGAUGAAGGUCUUCGGAUCGUAAAACUCUGUUAUUAGGGAAGAACAUAUGUGUAAGUAACUGUGCACAUCUUGACGGUACCUAAUCAGAAAGCCACGGCUAACUACGUG
RNAcentral lists this ribosomal RNA (497 nucleotides) under uncultured bacterium. RNAcentral's name for it is "partial 16S ribosomal RNA". It matches the Rfam family "Bacterial small subunit ribosomal RNA", at positions 28 to 507 of the family's 1533-position model. The record is from RNAcentral.